CAACAAGAAGUCGAGCUACUUGUGCACUCAAGAGAAAGUUCAUCAAAAUCUGUUCUCAGUUGUCCCUCGUAGGAGGAAGAUCUGGAAAAGAUAAGAGAGAAAAGAAACACUUGGCACUUACUGCUGAAACAGAACAGGCAAUUGCACAUUGCCAGUUGACUGAAAACUCAACCCCCAAAUGAACUGCUGAAAUACAAAGAGGCACAAGGUAAGAGCUAACAUGAAGCAUUUGAAACCGUAUUUUCCUAUUCGUGAAUUCAUCCCUUUUCAUAUAUUUCUCAGAAUGAAAAUGAUGAAGGGAAAUAGA
Molecule: long non-coding RNA, 307 nt
Organism: Gallus gallus (chicken)
Lineage: Eukaryota; Metazoa; Chordata; Aves; Galliformes; Phasianidae
Source: Ensembl